Long non-coding RNA from Chiroxiphia lanceolata (lance-tailed manakin), 1775 nucleotides. RefSeq lists it as uncharacterized. The record is from RefSeq and is a predicted model, not a curated record. NCBI's taxonomy places the organism in Eukaryota, Metazoa, Chordata, Aves, Passeriformes, Pipridae. The transcript has 2 exons.
UUCAGUGUUCCCAACACCUAAGAGAGAUAGCUUUUGUAACAAUCCUUAGAGAAGUGCCACCCCCUCGUUGAUGUCAGCUUAUCUGAAGAGACCUCUUGACCUGAAGUCCAGCAGAAAUUGCCAACAUAUGUUCAGAUUGUUUUCAUACAAGCAAAGAAGAAAUGGAAUGGUACAAGAUUGGAAACUGCAUUUAUUUUAACUUGUGGGUGAGUCUGAGAAAGUAUCAAGGUGGAGUUAUUUGUUUGUGGGUCUGGGUGUUUUUUGAUGUAUUACUGCUGGUAAUUGUCUACUCAGAUAUUGGUUAUUUCACCUUCGUAAUGGUUUUAAAUUAAGAUCUGAUAGUAAAGCGUGAAGAGCAGGGGAAAAGAAAAAGGUCUUCUACAAGUAACCCAAAUCAGGCCACAGGUUUUGACUAGCAGAAAGACUAUAUUUAAGGAUCCUCACUGGAAGACAAACAGCAACAUCCAAAAUACUAUGGUUUUGUUUUCCAUUUCCACUUAAUGAUUAGCAGGAAGGUGUUAGAGAGUUUCCCCUUGAUGACAGCAAGAAGAUCUUACACAGAGGUUCCCAAAGCAGAGGUGAGACCUUGGAACAAGUUAAGGUAAUAGUGAGUGAGGCUGUAAGGAUAAGAAACAUCAUUUCACGUGAUCUCAAUGUGUUUGAGGCCAAACAAAUUUAGCAUUAUGAAGGCAAGGUCUGUGAACUGCUGAUCUAUUAAUUGCUGAACAGUGAACUGGGAUUUAGGAGACCCAAAGAUAAGACUGAGACCCUCUCUAUGAUUUCGCGUGACCCGUUCAUCUACCCUAUGGUUCAAUUUCACCAUUAAAAAAUAAAUGUAGUAAUUUCCUUCAUGCUAUGGUUGGCCAGAUGCUACAGUAAUAGAGCACAGAGCAAUAUGGGGUUUCAUCAUGGUCUGUAGUCAAUAGUAAAUUGCAUCUUGCAGCUCCACGAUGAAGUUGAUAAUAUCCUCUGAGACAUGGAAAGAACCACAGUUUCUGCAACAGAGCGGCACAGCCUGGUGUGAGGAGAAGAAAUCCUUCUUCUGAUUUAUUAGACAGGAUUCAGAAGAGCCCAGCUUCUCCAGCACAGCACCAAACACAAAGGAUGUUGCCUGAACUCUCCCUGUUUGCCAGGAUAUCAGUGUCAAACACAGCCCUCCUUAAAAACCUCUCCUUGUACUGUGUAUUUGCAAGAGAAGAGGGUCACAGUAUAGAAAACAGCUAUUACAGUAGGUAGUACGUUUCAUUUCACUCAUGUUGGCAAUGGUCAGUCCUUUUAACUGUGGGUUUAGCUACCAUUUGGCUUUAACUGGAUAGGCAGAGCUGCAGCAGUGAUCGAGUGGCAGGUUUUCACUUUUGCAUGGAGGUGUCUGACAUUCCAGCAUACACAAUAUAUGUUUUCUCUGCUAAAAAUAAGGAGAGUGGUCUGAUUGUCCAGUGUGAUUGUUUGGCUGGAGGAGAAGGAGGAGGAGAGAAGCAAGAGGGUGGAUCAAUGACACAUGACUGCUGAGAACUUCUCCCUUGUGUGGAAUGUUUAUGGCUACAGCACAGGCUAUUCUGGAACCCCUUAUAUGGUUUGAAUUUAUUUUUAAUAACCUUUCUCUUUGUGUUUUUUUUUUUUUUUUAAUAUUACGUUACCUUGCUGUUAAACUUUUUUUGUGGGAAAGAAACAAUCCAUACUUCAUCCCAGACCUGUCUUGCUCUGCUUUCCUAAGUGUGUCCCAAGAAUAUUUUAAGACAGGUAAGAAAUCUAUGAUAUAAAAGGAGAAACCCCAC